UUGACAGAAGAGAGUGAGCACACAUGGUGUUUUCUUGCAUGAGAAAUGGAGUGCAUGCUCGAAGCUAUGCGUGCUCACUACUCUAUCUGUCAG
This is a microRNA precursor of Ananas comosus (pineapple), 93 nucleotides long. It matches the Rfam family "mir-156 microRNA precursor family". From Rfam's summary of the family: This family represents the plant microRNA (miRNA) precursor mir-156. Animal miRNAs are transcribed as ~70nt precursors and subsequently processed by the Dicer enzyme to give a ~22nt product. Lineage: Eukaryota; Viridiplantae; Streptophyta; Magnoliopsida; Poales; Bromeliaceae. The record is from Rfam.